UGCGUCUUCCGAGGCCAGUAUGUCUAAUUUGUAAUGUUUAGCAAAUGUGUGAAGAGAUGAUCAUGUUGCUGCAAAACUAAUUUGAGAAGGUGUAGCUGAAGCCCUCAGGACCCAAGAUGUGGACAUAGCUCUGGUAGAAUGAGCUUUAAUGGAGAUAGGUGUAGGAACGUUAGAUGAAGAAUAUGCCAAACGAAUGGAGUCCAUUAACCAUCUGGCCAGAGAGCCUUUAGAUACCAUAAAACAAGACAAAACAUAUGUUUAUUUUCAGUGAUGUCCC
This is a non-coding RNA of Pelobates cultripes (western spadefoot toad), 277 nucleotides long. Lineage: Eukaryota; Metazoa; Chordata; Amphibia; Anura; Pelobatidae. The record is from the annotation of a GenBank genome assembly.